AGGAAGAAGCUUGCUUCUUUGCUGACGAGUGGCGGACGGGUGAGUAAUGCUUGGGAAUCUGGCUUAUGGAGGGGGAUAACUACGGGAAACUGUAGCUAAUACCGCGUAGUCUCUGAGGAGUAGAGUGUGGGACCGCAAGGCCACAUGCCAUAAGAUGAGCCCAAGUGGGAUUAGGUAGUUGGUGGGGUAAAGGCCUACCAAGCCGACGAUCUCUAGCUGGUCUGAGAGGAUGACCAGCCACACUGGAACUGAGACACGGUCCAGACUCCUACGGGAGGCAGCAGUGGGGAAUAUUGCGCAAUGGGGGUAACCCUGACGCAGCCAUGCCGCGUGAAUGAAGAAGGCCUUCGGGUUGUAAAGUUCUUUCGGUGAUGAGGAAGGCAAGUGAGUUAAUAGCUUACUUGAUUGACGUUAAUCACAGAAGAAGCACCGGCUAACUCCGUGCCAGCAGCCGUGGUAAUACGGAGGGUGCGAGCGUUAAUCGGAAUAACUGGGCGUAAAGGGCACGCAGGCGGCUAUUUAAGUGAGAUGUGAAAUCCCCGAGCUUAACUUGGGAAUUGCAUUUCAGACUGGGUAGCUAGAGUACUUUAGGGAGGGGUAGAAUUCCACGUGUAGCGGUGAAAUGCGUAGAGAUGUGGAGGAAUACCGAAGGCGAAGGCAGCCCCUUGGGAAUGUACUGACGCUCAUGUGCGAAAGCGUGGGGAGCAAACAGGAUUAGAUACCCUGGUAGUCCACGCUGUAAACGAUGUCGAUUUGGGGAUUGGGCUAUAAGCUUGGUGCCCGAAGCU
This 788-nucleotide ribosomal RNA is filed under the name uncultured bacterium. RNAcentral's name for it is "SSU rRNA". It matches the Rfam family "Bacterial small subunit ribosomal RNA", at positions 70 to 853 of the family's 1533-position model. The record is from RNAcentral.